RNAcentral lists this ribosomal RNA (562 nucleotides) under Bordetella bronchiseptica. RNAcentral describes it as "bacterial SSU rRNA". It matches the Rfam family "Bacterial small subunit ribosomal RNA", at positions 87 to 647 of the family's 1533-position model. Lineage: Bacteria; Pseudomonadati; Pseudomonadota; Betaproteobacteria; Burkholderiales; Alcaligenaceae. The record is from RNAcentral.
GGAGGCCAGUGGCGGACGGGUGAAUAAUGUAUCGGAUCGUGCCCAGUAGCGGGGGAUAACUAUACGAAAGCGUGGCUAAUACCGCAUACGCCCUACGGGGGAAGCGGGGGACCUUCGGGCCUCGCACUAUUGGAGCGGCCGAUAUCGGAUUAGCUAGUUGGUGGGGUAACGGCCUACCAAGGCGACGAUCCGUAGCUGGUUUGAGAGGACGACCAGCCACACUGGGACUGAGACACGGCCCAGACUCCUACGGGAGGCAGCAGUGGGGAAUUUUGGACAAUGGGGGCAACCCUGAUCCAGCCAUCCCGCGUGUGCGAUGAAGGCCUUCGGGUUGUAAAGCACUUUUGGCAGGAAAGAAACGGCACGGGCUAAUAUCCUGUGCAACUGACGGUACCUGCAGAAUAAGCACCGGCUAACUACGUGCCAGCAGCCGCGGUAAUACGUAGGGUGCAAGCGUUAAUCGGAAUUACUGGGCGUAAAGCGUGCGCAGGCGGUUCGGAAAGAAAGAUGUGAAAUCCCAGGGCUUAACCUUGGAACUGCAUUUUUACUACCGGGCUAGAGU